UGGAAAAAGAACUAUUACCUGGGCAAUUAACAAACUGAGCUCUGGUUAUUGGCACCCUAUGUGAGGCCUCCUAGAAGGAGCUGGGAUGGAGAACAGAGCUGGCGUCAUGGAGGAAGCAGAACUACAGACAUUUACAUAGGCACAGCUGUGAGACCCUCUGCCCUGUCAAUUCCCAGCACUAAAUUCCAGGGUUUCCUCUACCUCCUGUCUGACCACUGACCUUCUUCAGCAAAUGGUCCUCAGCCCCUGCUCCUUCCUGCCUGCUUCAUCGCCCUGGGGCAUGGUUUUGCAUUCAUCUUUAUGCUGAGUCACAGAUUCCCAUCCUCAGCUCAGUUCUUGCCCUUAGGUCUCCUGGAGACUCGGGUACCUACCUCACCACCACCUGGAUGCUUAAUAGCAUCUCACACGUGUGCUCCAAAGAAACCCUCCACUCACAGCACCGUCCUUUCCAGCAAGUCCUCAGCCCAUGUCCGUCCACUUCUCUUCAUCCCUACCAUCUGUUGGCGCCUCUCCCUCCAUCAGCUCCCACUGGACACUGCUAGCCUGGCCCUGCUCAGCCACUGUCCUGAAUGGAGCCUUUCUCCCGAGUCAGCUGUAUGCAUCAUCUCACAGCCCCUGCUUAGGGUCACUGGCGCUUGCUGUACCUUUGCCCCAAAUGUUCUUGGCCUGGCUGCUCACAGGGCUGGCUCCUUCUUCACCUCCGGGCAGUCUUCCCUUGAAAACACCAUCCUCAACUUCACUGAAAGCCUUCGGCACCUCCAGCAACCCUCCUUGUCACCUCACUGGAACAUGCUGCCCAAGUGGGAGUUGAGCCACUUAACAGCUUGGCACCUCGGAAGGAAUCCUAUGUGAAACUCCCAGAUCCUCUUCAAUGUGUCUCGGCUAAAGAAUCACACUAAAUGACUUUAAAUACAUUUGUUCAAAGACUGCCGGGAUUCACACUAUUGAACAGUCACCCUGGGUCCAGUUUCCUCCAAGGACACCGCUUCAUUCCAGAACAGCCACUUCAAGCGCUUCGUCAAUAGCUGAGAGGUCCAGAGGUUUCAGAAAACUGGCGGGAAGCCAUAUGAGAAAUCACCACAGCUCAUGUAGCCUCCUCCUUUCGAAGACAAGAAAACAAAGAACUUGUAGUGCUGGGGCCUCAGGAUGGUCGCAUUCCCUGAACCAGACACACUGGGCGCUCUGUGCAUAAAGCUGGAUUCUGGCUGCAUAAAGAUACUGUGCUGAGG
Molecule: RNA transcript, 1229 nt
Organism: Chinchilla lanigera (long-tailed chinchilla)
Lineage: Eukaryota; Metazoa; Chordata; Mammalia; Rodentia; Chinchillidae
Exons: 7
Source: RefSeq, a predicted model, not a curated record